GCAAAAAAAAUAUUACUUGAAAGUAUGGUUACACAACAGCUCAAGCAAUCACGCACCGUGCAAGAUAUCAGAACUAGCUAUCACAUGCAUUGAAUGAUUCUCAAACGGGUCUUUUUGCACGUCCAGUGAUAAAACUUGAACAAAAGCAGAGUACUAAAACACUGUCACUCCAGGGUGUAUAAAGAAGCCUUCUUUACUCCUUUUUACAUGUUUUGAUGUUAAGGUUUUCCAGGGAAGGCUGCAUGGCAGUAUAAAUUAACCAACUAUUUUCAUCAACCCCAAACUAGUCGAGGUCCGUGACAAUCCUUUAUAUAUCUUCUCUAUUACCAUUCAUAUCACUUCGGUCCAAUAUUUUUCUUUUAUGACAGUGGUAUUUGGGCCAGCUUUGCACACCUCGACUAUUCCACCAGGUACCUGCUACUCCCAAGUCCCAACAGCACUGACAUGGGUCAUCUCUGCCCACUACAGCUUAGACAGAAGGGAUGAUUAUCACCUAGGGUUUUUUUGUCUUUGUUGGAAUUGAAUUUGAAACCUCAUGGUUGUCCACCCACUUCAAGGCCACACCCUUGGACGAACAUAUCACUUUAAUAUUGGUAAUCAAUUUGUCUUUUAAGUCAAAAUACAAA
Molecule: long non-coding RNA, 626 nt
Filed under: Nicotiana benthamiana
Lineage: Eukaryota; Viridiplantae; Streptophyta; Magnoliopsida; Solanales; Solanaceae
Description: long non-coding RNA (NBEN_LNC040197)
Source: RNAcentral